Molecule: long non-coding RNA, 513 nt
Organism: Bombus impatiens (common eastern bumble bee)
Lineage: Eukaryota; Metazoa; Arthropoda; Insecta; Hymenoptera; Apidae
Exons: 2
Source: RefSeq, a predicted model, not a curated record
AAAAAGUGUUUAAAUACCCUGUAAUUAUUCGACUUAGAAGGUUUCGUAACCAACAUCGGUAAUUGUCCGUAACAGGAAAACGAGAAACUAAUUGCACACGAAGAGACGCAGUAAUUAUCGACUAACUCCUUUGGCACAGAAAUGGACGUAAUAGUACGUCAACGAUCUCGAAAGCGUUAAUACUGUUGGUAAAUGUAAGUGACAGACAUGAGAAAAUAUUAUUAGAAAGAAUUUCGAGUUGAAUUAAAAACACAUUAGGCACUUAUAUACCUUUUCGUUUUGUAAAACUAAGUUAAUAUGUGAAAUAGUUGCGUGCGGAUUAGGUACACUGUCGCUCGUGAAUCUAAUAAUGAUAAAUUAAUAACAAACCAACGAUCGAAAGUAUCGCUCACCGUUUUCUUAUGGAAUUAGCAAAUGUAGGAAGAUUGUUUAUUUAUAAUGUUAACGAUGGCAGGUUACAUACACGUACACAUAUUCAAAAGAAAUCGAAUACGGCGUAAUCGUUGUCAAAAG